GUACUAACAUUUUAUAGGUUACAAGAACCCACAAAAAAAGCAUUCAGAGACAUACAAAGGGUAUAUGAAGACAUAGACUAUGAAAAUGCAAGGGAAGCUGAAGCGCAACCCUCCAUCCGAGAUUUACGCUCGAGAGGUAUUCAUAGUCUAGCUAAAGGUGCACAAGAGAAUAAGAAUAUGAACGAGCGUGCACAUGCUCCUAAGAGCCAGCGACAGCCCGAAUCAACUUCAAUAAUGAUCCUUCCGCAGGUUCACCUACGGAAA
RNAcentral lists this unclassified non-coding RNA (264 nucleotides) under uncultured fungus. RNAcentral's name for it is "sequence contains ITS1". Lineage: Eukaryota; Fungi. The record is from RNAcentral.